CCGCCCGUCACGUGGAACUUCGAGGGCCUGCCGCUGGACCCCCGCGGGUACGAGUCCCGGGUCGAGCAGAACGAGUACAACGUGACGGUCCACGAGCUGGUCAUCCCCGUGGGGAGGUCUCACCACUCGGGCUCCUACGAGUGCGUGACGGCCUUCGGGAGCGCCACCAUCUACGUCGACCUCUUCGUCCCUCCUUCCCUGGGGGAGCCGCUGCCGUCGGAGGUGGAGGUGGAGGAGGGUCGACCGCUGGAAGUGUCGUGUACCGCUGUUGGGCGUCCUCUUCCCUCCGUGCAGUGGGAGAAGCUGGUUGACGACACGUGGGUGCCGGCGACCGAGCUGGAGGGCGUGACGCGAGGACGACGGCUCCUGAGGAUCGAGGCGCGAGACUCGACCACGCCGGAGACUUCCGCUGGCCGCCAGGAGCGAGCCGGUCCUUCCUCGCCG
This is a non-coding RNA of Penaeus vannamei (Pacific white shrimp), 444 nucleotides long. The record is from RefSeq and is a predicted model, not a curated record. Lineage: Eukaryota; Metazoa; Arthropoda; Malacostraca; Decapoda; Penaeidae.